This 73-nucleotide transfer RNA is filed under the name Nippostrongylus brasiliensis. It matches the Rfam family "tRNA". Rfam says of the family: Transfer RNA (tRNA) molecules are approximately 80 nucleotides in length. Lineage: Eukaryota; Metazoa; Nematoda; Chromadorea; Rhabditida; Heligmosomidae. The record is from Rfam by way of RNAcentral.
GUCUGAGUGGCAUAGUGAUCAAUGCACAGCUCCGAUUAGGCGCGAGACGCGGGUUCGAAUCCCGCCUGAGACG